GUGAACGCUGGCGGUAGGCCUAACACAUGCCAGUCGAACGGCAGCACAGUAAGAGCUUGCUCUUACGGGUGGCGAGUGGCGGACGGGUGAGGAAUACAUCGGAAUCUACUUUUUCGUGGGGGAUAACGUAGGGAAACUUACGCUAAUACCGCAUACGACCUACGGGUGAAAGCAGGGGAUCUUCGGACCUUGCGCGAUUGAAUGAGCCGAUGUCGGAUUAGCUAGUUGGCGGGGUAAAGGCCCACCAAGGCGACGAUCCGUAGCUGGUCUGAGAGGAUGAUCAGCCACACUGGAACUGAGACACGGUCCAGACUCCUACGGGAGGCAGCAGUGGGGAAUAUUGGACAAUGGGCGCAAGCCUGAUCCAGCCAUACCGCGUGGGUGAAGAAGGCCUUCGGGUUGUAAAGCCCUUUUGUUGGGGAAGAAAAGCAGCAGGUUAAUACCCCGCUGUUCUGACGGUACCCAAAGAAUAAGCACCGGCUAACUUCGUG
This 491-nucleotide ribosomal RNA is filed under the name uncultured bacterium. RNAcentral's name for it is "partial 16S ribosomal RNA". It matches the Rfam family "Bacterial small subunit ribosomal RNA", at positions 29 to 507 of the family's 1533-position model. The record is from RNAcentral.